AUACGGAGGAUGCGAGCGUUAUCCGGAUUUAUUGGGUUUAAAGGGUGCGUAGGCUGUGCGUUAAGUCAGGGGUGAAAUGCCGUCGCUCAACGACGGAGCUGCCCUUGAUACUGGCGUGCUGGAGUACGGAUGCCGUUGGAGGAAUGAGUGGUGUAGCGGUGAAAUGCUUAGAUAUCACUCAGAACACCGAUUGCGAAGGCAUCUGGCGAAUCCGUCACUGACGCUGAGGCACGAAAGCGUGGGGAUAGAACAGGAUUAGAUACCCUGGUAUUCCACGCCGUAAACGAUGAUGACUAACCGUCGGCGAUAGACAGCCGGUGGCCAAGCGAAAGCGAUAAGUCAUCCACCUGGGGAGUACGUCGGCAACGAUGAAACUCAAAUGAAUUGACGGGG
This 393-nucleotide ribosomal RNA is filed under the name uncultured bacterium. RNAcentral's name for it is "partial 16S ribosomal RNA". It matches the Rfam family "Bacterial small subunit ribosomal RNA", at positions 523 to 918 of the family's 1533-position model. The record is from RNAcentral.